UACAGAGGGGGCAAGCGUUGUUCGGAAUUACUGGGCGUAAAGGGCGCGUAGGCGGCCUUCUAAGUCGAACGUGAAAUCCCCGGGCUCAACCCGGGAACUGCGUCCGAUACUGGGAGGCUUGAAUCCGGGAGAGGGAUGCGGAAUUCCAGGUGUAGCAGUGAAAUGCGUAGAUAUCAAGUGGAACACCAGUGGCGAAGGCGAGUCCCUGGACAAUACCUGACACUGAGGCACGAAAGCUAGGGGAGCAAACAGG
Molecule: ribosomal RNA, 253 nt
Filed under: uncultured bacterium
Lineage: Bacteria
Description: partial 16S ribosomal RNA
Rfam family: Bacterial small subunit ribosomal RNA
Source: RNAcentral